Molecule: ribosomal RNA, 486 nt
Filed under: Vibrio parahaemolyticus
Lineage: Bacteria; Pseudomonadati; Pseudomonadota; Gammaproteobacteria; Vibrionales; Vibrionaceae
Description: bacterial SSU rRNA
Rfam family: Bacterial small subunit ribosomal RNA
Source: RNAcentral
AAAUUGAAGAGUUUGAUCAUGGCUCAGAUUGAACGCUGGCGGCAGGCCUAACACAUGCAAGUCGAGCGGAAACGAGUUGUCUGAACCUUCGGGGAACGAUAACGGCGUCGAGCGGCGGACGGGUGAGUAAUGCCUAGGAAAUUGCCCUGAUGUGGGGGAUAACCAUUGGAAACGAUGGCUAAUACCGCAUGAUGCCUACGGGCCAAAGAGGGGGACCUUCGGGCCUCUCGCGUCAGGAUAUGCCUAGGUGGGAUUAGCUAGUUGGUGAGGUAAGGGCUCACCAAGGCGACGAUCCCUAGCUGGUCUGAGAGGAUGAUCAGCCACACUGGAACUGAGACACGGUCCAGACUCCUACGGGAGGCAGCAGUGGGGAAUAUUGCACAAUGGGCGCAAGCCUGAUGCAGCCAUGCCGCGUGUGUGAAGAAGGCCUUCGGGUUGUAAAGCACUUUCAGUCGUGAGGAAGGUAGUGUAGUUAAUAGCUGCAUU